Molecule: non-coding RNA, 21 nt
Filed under: Caenorhabditis elegans
Lineage: Eukaryota; Metazoa; Nematoda; Chromadorea; Rhabditida; Rhabditidae
Source: RNAcentral
UUUUUUUUCGGUUUCGUCCGU